Molecule: ribosomal RNA, 465 nt
Filed under: Vreelandella stevensii
Lineage: Bacteria; Pseudomonadati; Pseudomonadota; Gammaproteobacteria; Oceanospirillales; Halomonadaceae
Description: partial 16S ribosomal RNA
Rfam family: Bacterial small subunit ribosomal RNA
Source: RNAcentral
CCUACGGGCGGCUGCAGUGGGGAAUAUUGGACAAUGGGCGAAAGCCUGAUCCAGCCAUGCCGCGUGUGUGAAGAAGGCCUUCGGGUUGUAAAGCACUUUCAGUGGGGAAGAAAGCCUUGGGGCUAAUACCCUCGAGGAAGGACAUCACCCACAGAAGAAGCACCGGCUAACUCCGUGCCAGCAGCCGCGGUAAUACGGAGGGUGCGAGCGUUAAUCGGAAUUACUGGGCGUAAAGCGCGCGUAGGCGGUCUGAUAAGCCGGUUGUGAAAGCCCCGGGCUCAACCUGGGAACGGCAUCCGGAACUGUCAGGCUAGAGUGCAGGAGAGGAAGGUAGAAUUCCCGGUGGAGCGGUGAAAUGCGUAGAGAUCGGGAGGAAUACCAGUGGCGAAGGCGGCCUUCUGGACUGACACUGACGCUGAGGUGCGAAAGCGUGGGUAGCAAACAGGAUUAGAUACCCGUGUAGUC